GUGUGUGAAGAAGGCCCUCGGGUUGUAAAGCACUUUCAGCGAGGAAGAACGCCUAGCGGUUAAUACCCGCUAGGAAAGACAUCACUCGCAGAAGAAGCACCGGCUAACUCCGUGCCAGCAGCCGCGGUAAUACGGAGGGUGCAAGCGUUAAUCGGAAUUACUGGGCGUAAAGCGCGCGUAGGUGGCUUGAUAAGCCGGUUGUGAAAGCCCCGGGCUCAACCUGGGAACGGCAUCCGGAACUGUCAAGCUAGAGUGCAGGAGAGGAAGGUAGAAUUCCCGGUGUAGCGGUGAAAUGCGUAGAGAUCGGGAGGAAUACCAGUGGCGAAGGCGGCCUUCUGGACUGACACUGACACUGAGGUGCGAAAGCGUGGGUAGCAAACAGGAUUAGAUACCCUGGUAGUCCACGCCGUAAACGAUGUCGACCAGCCGUUGGGUGCCUAGCGCACUUUGUGGCGAAGUUAACGCGAUAAGUCGACCGCCUGGGGAGUACGGCCGCAAGGUUAAAACUCAAAUGAAUUGACGGGGGCCCGCACAAGCGGUGGAGCAUGUGGUUUAAUUCGAUGCAACGCGAAGAACCUUACCUACUCUUGACAUCCUGCGAAUUUGGUAGAGAUACCUUAGUGCCUUCGGGAACGCAGAGACAGGUGCUGCAUGGCUGUCGUCAGCUCGUGUUGUGAAAUGUUGGGUUAAGUCCCGUAACGAGCGCAACCCUUGUCCUUAUUUGCCAGCGCGUAAUGGCGGGAACUCUAAGGAGACUGCCGGUGACAAACCGGAGGAAGG
RNAcentral lists this ribosomal RNA (780 nucleotides) under Vreelandella aquamarina. RNAcentral describes it as "bacterial SSU rRNA". It matches the Rfam family "Bacterial small subunit ribosomal RNA", at positions 401 to 1173 of the family's 1533-position model. The record is from RNAcentral. Lineage: Bacteria; Pseudomonadati; Pseudomonadota; Gammaproteobacteria; Oceanospirillales; Halomonadaceae.